UACGUAGGGGGCAAGCGUUAUCCGGAUUUACUGGGUGUAAAGGGAGUGUAGACGGCAUGGCAAGCCAGAUGUGAAAGCCCGGGGCUCAACCCCGGGACUGCAUUUGGAACUGUCAGGCUAGAGUGUCGGAGAGGAAAGCGGAAUUCCUAGUGUAGCGGUGAAAUGCGUAGAUAUUAGGAGGAACACCAGUGGCGAAGGCGGCUUUCUGGACGAUGACUGACGUUGAGGCUCGAAAGCGUGGGGAGCAAACAGG
RNAcentral lists this ribosomal RNA (253 nucleotides) under Mediterraneibacter gnavus ATCC 29149. Its description in RNAcentral is "[Ruminococcus] gnavus ATCC 29149 partial 16S ribosomal RNA". It matches the Rfam family "Bacterial small subunit ribosomal RNA", at positions 524 to 776 of the family's 1533-position model. The record is from RNAcentral. Lineage: Bacteria; Bacillati; Bacillota; Clostridia; Lachnospirales; Lachnospiraceae.